RNAcentral lists this ribosomal RNA (496 nucleotides) under uncultured bacterium. RNAcentral describes it as "partial 16S ribosomal RNA". It matches the Rfam family "Bacterial small subunit ribosomal RNA", at positions 29 to 507 of the family's 1533-position model. The record is from RNAcentral.
AUGAACGCUGGCGGCGUGCCUAAUACAUGCAAGUCGAGCGAACAGACGAGGAGCUUGCUCCUCUGACGUUAGCGGCGGACGGGUGAGUAACACGUGGAUAACCUACCUAUAAGACUGGGAUAACUUCGGGAAACCGGAGCUAAUACCGGAUAAUAUAUUGAACCGCAUGGUUCAAUAGUGAAAGACGGUUUUGUUGUCACUUUUAGAUGGAUCCGCGCCGCAUUAGCUAGUUGGUAAGGUAACGGCUUACCAAGGCAACGAUGCGUAGCCGACCUGAGAGGGUGAUCGGCCACACUGGAACUGAGACACGGUCCAGACUCCUACGGGAGGCAGCAGUAGGGAAUCUUCCGCAAUGGGCGAAAGCCUGACGGAGCAACGCCGCGUGAGUGAUGAAGGUCUUCGGAUCGUAAAACUCUGUUAUUAGGGAAGAACAAAUGUGUAAGUAACUAUGCACGUCUUGACAGUACCUAAUCAGAAAGCCACGGCUAACUACGUG